RNAcentral lists this ribosomal RNA (483 nucleotides) under uncultured bacterium. Its description in RNAcentral is "bacterial SSU rRNA". It matches the Rfam family "Bacterial small subunit ribosomal RNA", at positions 28 to 508 of the family's 1533-position model. The record is from RNAcentral.
GAUGAACGCUAGCGGCAGGCUUAAUACAUGCAAGUCGAACGGUAACAGGUCUUCGGACGCUGACGAGUGGCGCACGGGUGAGGAACACGUACACAAUCUACCUUAUACUGGAGAAUAGCCCCGGGAAACUGGGAUUAAUACUCCAUAGUCUUUAAUGAUCACAUGAGAAAUAAAGUAAAGCUUCGGCGGUAUAAGAUGAGUGUGCGUCCCAUUAGAUUGUUGGUGAGGUAACGGCUCACCAAGUCGACGAUGGGUAGCUGGCGUGAGAGCGCGACCAGCCACACUGGCACUGAGUCACGGGCCAGACUCCUACGGGAGGCAGCAGUAGGGAAUAUUGGUCAAUGGACGAAAGUCUGAACCAGCCAUGCCGCGUGGAGGAUGACUGCCCUCUGGGUUGUAAACUCCUUUUAUAUGGGAAGAAACCUCUGGAUUCACCUCCAGAGCUGACGGUAUCAUAUGAAUAAGCACCGGCUAACUCCGUCG